Molecule: ribosomal RNA, 253 nt
Filed under: uncultured bacterium
Lineage: Bacteria
Description: partial 16S ribosomal RNA
Rfam family: Bacterial small subunit ribosomal RNA
Source: RNAcentral
UACGUAGGCAGCAAGCGUUGUUCGGAAUUACUGGGCGUAAAGAGUGUGUAGGCGGUGCUCUAAGUCUGUUGUGAAAUCUCCCGGCUUAACCGGGAGGGUGCGGCGGAAACUGGAGUGCUUGAGGGUGGGAGAGGUAAGCGGAAUUCCUGGUGUAGCGGUGAAAUGCUUAGAUAUGACAUAGAACACCGAUAGCGAAGGCAGCUUGCUACACGAGUAUUGACACUGAGGCACGAAAGCGUGGGGAUCAAACAGG